UACGGAGGGGGCUAGCGUUGUUCGGAAUUACUGGGCGUAAAGCGCACGUAGGCGGAUCGGAAAGUUGGGGGUGAAAUCCCGGGGCUCAACCCCGGAACUGCCUUCAAAACUACUGGUCUUGAGUUCGAGAGAGGUGAGUGGAAUUCCGAGUGUAGAGGUGAAAUUCGUAGAUAUUCGGAGGAACACCAGUGGCGAAGGCGGCUUACUGGAUCGAUACUGACGCUGAGGUGCGAAAGCGUGGGGAGCAAACAGG
RNAcentral lists this ribosomal RNA (253 nucleotides) under uncultured bacterium. RNAcentral describes it as "partial 16S ribosomal RNA". It matches the Rfam family "Bacterial small subunit ribosomal RNA", at positions 524 to 776 of the family's 1533-position model. The record is from RNAcentral.